AGCGAACGCUGGCGGCAGGCUUAACACAUGCAAGUCGAACGGGCAUCUUCGGAUGUCAGUGGCAGACGGGUGAGUAACACGUGGGAACGUACCCUUCGGUUCGGAAUAACUCAGGGAAACUUGAGCUAAUACCGGAUACGCCCUUUUGGGGAAAGGUUUACUGCCGAAGGAUCGGCCCGCGUCUGAUUAGCUUGUUGGUGGGGUAACGGCCUACCAAGGCGACGAUCAGUAGCUGGUCUGAGAGGAUGAUCAGCCACACUGGGACUGAGACACGGCCCAGAAUCCUACGGGAGGCAGCAGUGGGGAAUAUUGGACAAUGGGCGCAAGCCUGAUCCAGCCAUGCCGCGUGAGUGAUGAAGGCCUUAGGGUUGUAAAGCUCUUUUGUCCGGGACGAUAAUGACGGUACCGGAAGAAUAAGCCCCGGCUAACUUCGUG
Molecule: ribosomal RNA, 435 nt
Filed under: uncultured bacterium
Lineage: Bacteria
Description: partial 16S ribosomal RNA
Rfam family: Bacterial small subunit ribosomal RNA
Source: RNAcentral